CAAAAUCUCAACUUUAUUAGAAGAGACGCAUUUAUUAGAUAAAAAGCCAAUGCAUGCUUUUACAGUAUGGAAAUUGGUAAUUUAUAAUAACUUAGCAAAUCGCAAAGUGAAAACAGGCGAUAAAUCAUUCAAGUUUCUGACCUAUCAGCUUUCGACGGUAUGGUAUUGGCUUACCGUGGCAGUGACGGUUAACGGGGGAUUAGGGUUCGAUUCCGGAGAGGGAGCCUGAGAAACGGCUACCACAUCUAAGGAAGGCAGCAGGCGCGCAAAUUACCCAAUUCUAACAGUUUGAGAGAGGUAGUAACAAGAAAUAACAAUACAAGGCAAUUAAAAUGCUUUGUAAUUGGAAUGAUAGAAAUUUAAACCCUUUUUAAAGUAUCAAUUGGAGGGCAAGUCUGGUGCCAGCAGCCGCGGUAAUUCCAGCUCCAAUAGCGUAUAUUAAAAUUGUUGCAGUUAAAAAGCUCGUAGUUGAAGUUCUGCUAAAAGUAACCGGUCUGCUUUUAAUAAAAGUGGUAUCUUGGUGUGUAUUUAGCAAUGAUGUCCUUUGAAGUGUUUUUUACUUUAUUGUAAUAAAGCAUAUUCAGGACUUUUACUUUGAGAAAAUUAGAGUGUUUCUAGCAGGCUGACGCUUUGAAUACUGCAGCAU
This 646-nucleotide ribosomal RNA is filed under the name Hepatozoon canis. RNAcentral's name for it is "SSU rRNA". It matches the Rfam family "Eukaryotic small subunit ribosomal RNA", at positions 174 to 810 of the family's 1831-position model. Lineage: Eukaryota; Apicomplexa; Hepatozoidae. The record is from RNAcentral.